Molecule: small RNA, 506 nt
Filed under: Pan troglodytes (chimpanzee)
Lineage: Eukaryota; Metazoa; Chordata; Mammalia; Primates; Hominidae
Description: processed transcript
Source: RNAcentral
GAUUGUCGGGAGGACCCUGGGCAAAGACGCCUACCCUGCCAUGCUGCGCCAUCUGCCCUCCAGGCUGCCAGUCAAGAUGUGGGGCAGGACUUUGGAGAAACAGUCAUGGAGGGACAGCAGUCAGACCCCUCCCCCAUGUCUUAUCUGUAGACUUGACCACAUCGUGAUGACGGUGAAGAGCAUCAAAGACACCACCAUGUUUUAUUCCAAGAUCCUGGGCAUGGAGGUCAUGACUUUUAAGGUAAGCACUUCCCCAAAUGCCAAAAUUCAGGUGGGCUAAAAUUUGUUGAUAACACUUUAACAUAUAACUUAACUUUAAAAGGAAAACCACAGGAAAUCUGAGAGAAAAUAUAAAGAGAUCAAUAGAGGAGAUUCCAAACUGAAUAUUUGGACUUCCAGAGAGAGAAUGGAGAAAAAAGAGAGGAGGAAAUUAUCAUAGAAACAAUGCAAGAUAACUUUGCAGUCUCUACAUGGAAAAGGUUAACCAAGUAUCCAGCAUGUUGACA